GAUUGGAGAAAAAGCUGCGCUUUUUAAAGCUUGCCUACCUACUAUUCCUAUUCUUCGUUUCUCUGUUCUGGAUGAUUUGGAGUAUUGCAGAUGAACCUGAGUAAUCUGGAAUUAUUGCAUCUGACAAGCAUGCUGCUGUACUUUCGAUGGAUUACACUA
Molecule: long non-coding RNA, 159 nt
Organism: Quercus lobata
Lineage: Eukaryota; Viridiplantae; Streptophyta; Magnoliopsida; Fagales; Fagaceae
Exons: 3
Source: RefSeq, a predicted model, not a curated record